Molecule: ribosomal RNA, 496 nt
Filed under: uncultured bacterium
Lineage: Bacteria
Description: partial 16S ribosomal RNA
Rfam family: Bacterial small subunit ribosomal RNA
Source: RNAcentral
AUGAACGCUGGCGGCGUGCCUAAUACAUGCAAGUCGAGCGAACAGAUAAGGAGCUUGCUCCUUUGACGUUAGCGGCGGACGGGUGAGUAACACGUGGGUAACCUACCUAUAAGACUGGGAUAACUUCGGGAAACCGGAGCUAAUACCGGAUAACAUUUGGAACCGCAUGGUUCUAAAGUGAAAGAUGGUUUUGCUAUCACUUAUAGAUGGACCCGCGCCGUAUUAGCUAGUUGGUAAGGUAACGGCUUACCAAGGCAACGAUACGUAGCCGACCUGAGAAGGUGAUCGGCCACACUGGAACUGAGACACGGUCCAGACUCCUACGGGAGGCAGCAGUAGGGAAUCUUCCGCAAUGGGCGAAAGCCUGACGGAGCAACGCCGCGUGAGUGAUGAAGGGUUUCGGCUCGUAAAACUCUGUUAUUAGGGAAGAACAAACGUGUAAGUAACUGUGCACGUCUUGACGGUACCUAAUCAGAAAGCCACGGCUAACUACGUG